Agelaius phoeniceus (red-winged blackbird) is the source of this 495-nucleotide long non-coding RNA. RefSeq lists it as uncharacterized. The record is from RefSeq and is a predicted model, not a curated record. NCBI's taxonomy places the organism in Eukaryota, Metazoa, Chordata, Aves, Passeriformes, Icteridae.
AGCCCCGCGUUGUAGUCCAGCACGAACCAGCGGUACUGCCAGCCCUUCAUCACAUUGGUCCAUUUGCUCAGCGGGCCCUCCAUGAUAGACGCCAUCUUAGCACCGGACCGGCACCGCCGCGCACGCCGCGCGUUCGGGAAACGUUCCAUUUUAUUUUUUAUGGGUAACAAAUGCAGUAAUAAACUACAAUCAAGUAGAAGAUGGAGCAUUCUGAGUCAUCCUCAGUCUCCAGCUUCUGUCCUUUACAGAAUUAUGUUUGGUUUAGGGGAUUACAGAGAGAAAGAUAGAUGGGAGAGAAUCACCUUCAUCCUACAAGCAGUCAUUCUUCAAAGAGGACAAUUAAAUCAAGCAUGACAGUAAGUGCUAUUGAGGAGUGCAGCUUCCAGAGACUCCAGGUUGUGUCAAUUACAACACUUUUUUCAGCAGAUUCAUCGUGUCACGAGAGGGAUCUGCCCAGUGUCCAAGAUGAUGUUUGAGACUGAGGCUUCAGGUGAG